RNAcentral lists this ribosomal RNA (471 nucleotides) under Salmonella enterica. Its description in RNAcentral is "bacterial SSU rRNA". It matches the Rfam family "Bacterial small subunit ribosomal RNA", at positions 1 to 468 of the family's 1533-position model. RNAcentral also lists the same sequence under 2 other names. Lineage: Bacteria; Pseudomonadati; Pseudomonadota; Gammaproteobacteria; Enterobacterales; Enterobacteriaceae. The record is from RNAcentral.
AAAUUGAAGAGUUUGAUCAUGGCUCAGAUUGAACGCUGGCGGCAGGCCUAACACAUGCAAGUCGAACGGUAACAGGAAGCAGCUUGCUGCUUCGCUGACGAGUGGCGGACGGGUGAGUAAUGUCUGGGAAACUGCCUGAUGGAGAGGGAUAACUACUGGAAACGGUGGCUAAUACCGCAUAACGUCGCAAGACCAAAGAGGGGGACCUUCGGGCCUCUUGCCAUCAGAUGUGCCCAGAUGGGAUUAGCUUGUUGGUGAGGUAACGGCUCACCAAGGCGACGAUCCCUAGCUGGUCUGAGAGGAUGACCAGCCACACUGGAACUGAGACACGGUCCAGACUCCUACGGGAGGCAGCAGUGGGGAAUAUUGCACAAUGGGCGCAAGCCUGAUGCAGCCAUGCCGCGUGUAUGAAGAAGGCCUUCGGGUUGUAAAGUACUUUCAGCGGGGAGGAAGGUGUUGUGGUUAAUAACC